CGAUUCUACGUGCACAUCGCCUAAAUAGCCUAAAAUUAAAAUGUCUAAGUUUUAAUCAUAUUUUAGACGGCGGAUUUAACAAGUGCUAUUCCAGAACGUCAAGCUGACUAAAUUUAGCCAGAUUUUAGACGGAUUCUAAAAUUUCUAAGUUGAAUUGAGUGUGUUGCCACUUUAAAAAAAUAAGUGAACGAAUGAAUGAAUGAUAUCUGUAUAAAAACUGUGAAAUCGUAUUUUCUUUUGGGUGAAAUAUGAUAAUUUAAUGAAUUUUAUUCCAUUACAUAUAUUUAACACUAGUGUACACACCUUAGACCACUAAAACGUUACUUUUUAAUUAUGUAAUUAAAAAUAAUUAAUCAAAUUUUAAUAGGCAACAUUUAAAAAAAUCUGCUGUCAAGUACGAAGAAGUUUGUAAACUUGUUUGUAUUCCAAUUUGUUUGGUUUUGUUUGUGGAAAACGUGGAAAAUGUCGGUGUCGCGAAAGCGGAGCAAUAAAACGCAACAGGAGGUGCUCGUAGAGCAUCUCCAUGCUAACUUGAUGUUAGCAAGAGGAAAUACGGCUAGCCCCAAAGUGGCAGCAUUUUAGGCGGCCCUAACUGUUACUCUUAAUAGUCACGGAUGUCGAAGGACAGUGGCGGAGUGGCAGAGUAUUUGGUCGCAGUGGACACAGAAGGUCAAAUCUAAGUACAGAAAAUACAGAGAUCAAACGGAGGGCACUGGUGGAGGUCCUGCAUUAGUCCGCCCACUGACAGACACAGAACUUAAGGUUUUGGAGGUCGUAGGAACAGCUGCAGUGGAUGGAUUUACCAAUCUGGAGACUCCACUAGUUGGUUCUGUUGAAAUUUCAACACCGGCACCAGUUGAUGAACAACCACCAGUUGCUGCCCAGCUGCCAAUUGCUAUCCAGCCAUCAGUCGCUGACCACCCACCAGGUGCUGUCCAGCCACCAAUUGCUGUCCAGCCAUCAUCUGCUGCUGUUCAACCUCCAUCAUCUUCAGCCCAAUUGCGGAGUUCUCAUAGGCCAGAACGUACUCUUCCUCGCUCAUUUAUUACCUCGUCGCAACGACGACAGCGGAAAAGACCUUCGCGGCCCAAACCAGCAGAAUUACUGCAAGGGUCAUUAGACCGGAAUCAUGAAUUAUUCCGGUCUACAAUAACACAGGCAGCAGAGACCUUAGCCACUGCCAUCAGAGUAGCAGGGGAGGCCAUUUCCUCGGCUAUUAGGAACCAUGGUGGUUUACAGAACAAUGAUGGUGGUGGGCAGUCGGUAGAAUAUUUAGACGAAGAUCUAUUAGAGUAACAGUAGGAGCCAUCCAAUUUGUUGUUUCUUUAGUAAGUUAGCGAUAUUUAUUGUUAUUUUUUGUAUGAAAAUAUUUGACCCCUCCCCUUAUUCGGGCUUCUCUUCGCUCCAACUUUUCAUACAAACAUAGUUCUUAUUUGAAGACGAGCCAACAAGUCAUUAAAUGUUUGUACACAUAUUUCUAAAGGGAAUAUUCCUUUGCUUUGCUAGCUUUUGCUAAAAUUGGAGGUUGUCAAUCUACAUAUCUAAGCUUAAUGAUUUUUGUUCAAAAUGUAUUCUCCGUUUAGUUUGAAACAACAUAUCUUUACAAAAUUUUGACAAACCACAUGUACUCGUUUUUAGAAUAUAUCUACAAAUCUUUAUUGACUUUGAUGGUCUGUUUUCAAUUGAGAACGACGUACUUUUACGUUCGUAUGAAAAGUGAAGCGGAAAACUAGCGUUUACUUGCAAAACUAGUGACAUUUUGAUUUACCAACAACAAGCGGAAUAGAGUUGCAAUUUUGCAAGUACGGUCGACCAAAUUGAUUUCUGGGCCACUUCGUACCUUGUCACAGUGAAAAUCAAUUUGAAGCUGUUAGAGAUCUCUUAUUAUUAUCACUGUGACAACGUACGAAGUGGCCCAGAAAUCAAAUUUAUCUAUUUAAAUUGUUAUGUUUGAAACAUUUUAUCUAUAAAUGAAAAUAGUAGGCCAUUCUAUUUUCUAAAAUCAUUGUAGAUUGCAUGGAGCGGAAUUUUAGUUGUCAGUUUGGGGUUCUUAGGAGGUAAACAACCUAAGAGUACUCGACCCUGAGAGGUCAGCUUGACCCCUAAAUUCAUGAUGUAAGCUUGAAAAGCACAGAGCGCGGCACAGCGUCGUUGCGUGGCGGAGACGGUUUUUUGGUGAAGCCAACGCGGUCCGGGGGACGUCCUAUCAAAAAAUGAAGCAGUAAUGACAGUCGAUAGUUUCGGAAAGAUCAAAAAUGCAAAACCGCCUCCGCGCCGCACCGUGCCGCGCCUGCUCUGUGCGUUUCGACCUGUAGGCUGCAGUAAUGAUUUGUUAAUACUUAGUAAUUUUAUUUUGUAUAUUGAUAAUUUGUUUUAUUUGUAAGGAAGCGAUAUUUCAUUUUAAUUUUAUUGUAAUCUUUUCUUUUCAACGCUCUGUCAAAUACAAAUAGGUGGCACUCACACGCCAUGACAUCAAAAUAUCAAACACGUCGCAGUGACCGAUAUACCUUAGUACCUUACUACGUACAUUUAUGUUUGAAACCUUGGAAAUGCUCAUAAUGAACUCGACGGUAUAGACUGAUAGCAGUACUUUUACCUAUAUACUGCUAUCAGAAUGAAAUAUCGCUCCGCAAAUGGGUCUAAAUUUCCCAAAAAAAACCUGUUUCCAGUAUAGAAUGUAGAACAUUUUGUCAGCUUUCAAAUAUUUUUCUAGGCAUAUCCUAAUAAGCGAAAAACAAUAACUUGAUUUGCCUUAAGGCUCAUUUUAAUUUACACAGAGAUGGCAAGAUUUAUUUCAAAAUAUUACUUAAACUAUAAGUUAUGAAGGAAUGUACCAAACUGUAAUUGUAAUAAGUAAUAAAAGACUAUGAUAGUGUUAA
This is a long non-coding RNA of Cydia fagiglandana, 2879 nucleotides long. RefSeq lists it as uncharacterized. The transcript has 4 exons. The record is from RefSeq and is a predicted model, not a curated record. NCBI's taxonomy places the organism in Eukaryota, Metazoa, Arthropoda, Insecta, Lepidoptera, Tortricidae.